AGAAACAUUGGUAGGCGACGACCAAUCAAGAAGCUUGGAACCCCAAGCCUCCUUCUUUGUGUCGGUACUUCUUCACCUCUCAAUGCAGCAGCCAAGAUGCGCUCGUCUCACGCAAAAUCGUCAAGUUCAGCGAUGUCCUUCAGGCUAGCAAGGUACUCAAGGGCACCACGUUGCCGGUGCGAAGCACUAGCACAAGCGUGAUGCGUAAAAGAACCCAAGACCUCUCCAUGGUCGCAGUUUCGUGGUUCCUCACCUUCUUAAGUACAGAUAUAUCUUUCUUUUUAUGACUGAAAAAGCAGAAAGACACAUGUCAUUCAGAAAUGAAACAUUGCAACAAAGAAAACCAAAAAUCCAAAAAAGCUGCGAUGGGCGUAUUUUUUUAUACCUAAACAAACCCUGCUUAGGGUCAAUCUUCAUGACUACCCGGUCUAGCAGCUCAUCUGGUACAUAAAAGGGGGAAAUAUUCAUCAAAGAAACAAAGUUGCAAUCAUUUCAGAUUCCCCUCUUGUCGUCAUUCAGAUGUUUCUCAGCAACCUGACGCAAGCGAGAAGCUGAAAAACCUGUUGUGAAGGACCCAUCAGUAGGUUCUUCAAUCUCAUCAUCCAUUCUUGAGGCUCUGCAUCAAAAAGAGAAGAAAUCUCGUUAUACUGCCUUAUGAAAUCUAUGCAACAACACCAUUUAGAAAAUCUUUGGAUAAAACACAACACUCCCAUUGCAUUGGUCACUACGUGAUGAAACAACAUCUACUGAGAUAAAAACCAACUUAUCUAAGCACUGGCGCACUAUUGGUCAAACAAAAAACACAAAAACCCACACUCCCUGGAUAUAAGCAACUGCAAAAGAUCAUAUAAUCCAUUAAACACUGAUGAAAAAAGCCCUAUCACAUUACCUUGCCCCAUGCAUUUAAAUCACAAGCCCAAAAUGCAAGGUUCAGUCUGUAAGCUCACCUAGUACAGAGAAUGAGGCGAUAUUCAUCAUAGAUCCGAAGCUGACUUGUUUAUGACUACCCUCUUUUCAUCAUUCAGAUGUUUCCGCGCAAACAGACACAACCAAGGUACAAACACGUGCUGAGAAAGAUCCAUUAGUAGGUUCCUCAUCAUCCAUUGUUGAGUCUCUGCAAAAACAAAAAGAACAACAACGACAACAUAUUAUAUCGCUUUGUUACGAACCUAUGCAACAACAACAGCGGAACGAAACACACUAUAUAUAAAAAUAUGGAAUGAUUUGAAAAUGAA
Molecule: long non-coding RNA, 1235 nt
Filed under: Triticum aestivum (bread wheat)
Lineage: Eukaryota; Viridiplantae; Streptophyta; Magnoliopsida; Poales; Poaceae
Description: long non-coding RNA (TAES_LNC013229)
Source: RNAcentral